Quercus lobata is the source of this 2219-nucleotide RNA transcript. It is a transcript of the gene named Phospholipid/glycerol acyltransferase family protein, with no coding region annotated. NCBI's taxonomy places the organism in Eukaryota, Viridiplantae, Streptophyta, Magnoliopsida, Fagales, Fagaceae. The record is from RefSeq and is a predicted model, not a curated record. The transcript is spliced from 6 exons.
GCAAAACAGCAAUUGAGGAGUAGAAGGAGUGAAGAGUGAAGAGUGGGGAUGGGAUUGGGUGGGAAAAUGGAGUGGGCAGGGCGGGCGAAACACUUGGGAGGAAUACCAAGAAAGGUAGUGUUGAUGGGAGUAGGAGGUUUCGCAAAGAUAGUGGCCACUAUUUUCAACACUACCUCCGUUCACAAUGCUCAUACUCUCAUUCGUCUUGUUCGCUCCAGACCUCCUGCUCUUCCUCUCCUCACUGUUAGCAAUCACAUGUCAACUUUGGACGAUCCUCUUAUGUGGGGUUUCAAGGGCUUCCCCACCUGCCACCCUAAUUUGGCUCGAUGGGUUCUUGCUGCUGACGACAUUUGCUUUAAGAAUCCCUUUUAUUCCUACUUCUUCCGACUUGGAAAAUGCAUACCUAUAAUUAGGGGUGGUGGAAUUUAUCAAGAACACAUGAAUGAAGCUCUUGAGCGCUUAGCUGAUGGAGAAUGGCUGCAUACAUUUCCUGAGGGAAAAGUGUCCCAAGAAGAUGCACCAAUAAGACGAUUAAAAUGGGGAACUGCUAGUCUCAUUGCUCGUGCCCCUGUAACCCCAAUAGUUUUGCCAAUUUUCCAUCAUGGCUUUGAAGAGAGAAAUAGACCAAAGAUGGGUUCAUAAACAUCAUUUUGGACAGUUGGAGUUGAAAUUAAAAGAAGUCCCUAUUUUCUGCUCCAAGCGGCUUUCAGGUGAGGUAGGCAAGUUAGAAUAAGAAGCAGAAAACUCUCUCUCAUUGCCACGCGGCCAUUGCUUCCAUCAGUGCUUAUUUAGUGCCAAGAGAUUCUUGUGGACAUAACAUUGAAUUUUGAGAUAAAAGAAGAAGUUCAAAGAAUUUCCUGAAAUGUUUGUUGGACUGUUUAACAGCAGCUGUUUAAGUCAUUGCCAUUUUUGGUCUUUGUGGGAUUGGCCUAAAGACAAGGAAUGGUAAUGAUGAAGCAAAAUACAUUCUGGAAAUAGAGAUCCCAAAGAACUACUGAUGAAAGAUACAAGUAUUGAAGUUGAUUUGGGAGAGGGUGGGAGAUAUUAAAACAAAAUUGGAAGACAAAGCCUGUGGCUUGCACCUGGACUGUCAACUACAAUGUUGUUCAAUCCUUGGGUAGCUCAAGCAAAUAAUGAUGUGCCUUUUGCACUGGACUUUGGGAGUUCUGGGAUGAUUAUUAGGAAAUGAUUAUGAGUGCCAUUCUAUGGAAUAAUCAUUGUUGUUUUAAUAACUUUGAAGAAUGUUGCUUGUGAUAAGCAACUUCUUUUAUUUAUUUGCAGUUUCUCAGUUUAUAUUGAGCAGCUCAAAUGAUGUCCCAAGAAAGUAAAACAGGUGAAGUAGAAGUACAUGUUUUAUAUAUCAGGUGGCGGGAGGUCUGACGAGAGAGAGAGAGAGAGAGAGAGAGAGAGAGAGAAUUUAUGUAUUCCCGACUGAACAGUGAGUAGCAUCCAUGAUUAUUAAGUACAUAACUUGUUAAGAUGUGGCUUGAGGACUUAGGUUCGAUCUUAUUAUAGAGUAUUAGCUCAUUUAGUUUCUGACAGUUUCCCGUGGAAGAGCAUUUGGAAACCGCUUGUCCCCAAUAAGGUGGCGUUUUUCCUUUGGGGAAUAUCCUUACAGUGGAGAACCUGAGGAAGCGAAACAUUAUUUUGGUGAGCUGCUGUUGUAUGUGCAAGAGGGACAAGGAGAUAGUAGACCACUUAUUGUUGCAUUGCCCUAAUGCUAUAGAUUUAUGGGAUUUGGCUUUUGCUCUUUUUGGGGUGGAGUGGGUGAUGCCUAGAAAGGUUGAUCUUCUAGCAUGUUGGCAAGGUCAUUUUGGCAUCAUUGGAGCUGUGAAAUAUGGAAACCCAUCCCUCAAUGUUUAAUGUGGUGCAUUUGGAGGGAAAGAAAUGCAAGGAGCUUUGAAGGAUUUGAGCAGAAAACUUUAGAAUUAAAAAUCAAAUUUUUUGAAGACCUUGCUUGAGUGGAUGGUAGCUUCAGGGAAGUUUUCUUUUUCAAAUUUAUUUGAUUUUAUCAUUCAUUUUAAUUUUAGAACUCUUGUGACCUUCAGCUAGUAUACUUCAUGUGUACUUGUUGAUUUUAUUUUUUUGAAUCAGUAUUAUUACUUAUUAAAAAAGAAUAAGAUGUGGCUCAAGGACUCAUUUCAUUUGCAUAUUCCAAUAUGGCUUCAAAAACCAACCGGAAAUGCAAACUUUCCAACACUAACUGUGAAACACGGUUC